Molecule: ribosomal RNA, 127 nt
Filed under: Aeribacillus pallidus
Lineage: Bacteria; Bacillati; Bacillota; Bacilli; Caryophanales; Bacillaceae
Description: partial 16S ribosomal RNA
Rfam family: Bacterial small subunit ribosomal RNA
Source: RNAcentral
UUUUUUUGGAGAGUUUGAUCCUGGCUCAGGACGAACGCUGGCGGCGUGCCUAAUACAUGCAAGUCGAGCGGACCGAAGGGAGCUUGCUCCUUUAGGUUAGCGGCGGACGGGUGAGUAACACGUGGGC